This 28-nucleotide non-coding RNA is filed under the name Drosophila melanogaster (fruit fly). RNAcentral also lists the same sequence under 3 other names. The record is from RNAcentral. Lineage: Eukaryota; Metazoa; Arthropoda; Insecta; Diptera; Drosophilidae.
AACUUUCAACAACGGAUCUCUUGGUUCU